AUUGAACGCUGGCGGCAUGCCUUACACAUGCAAGUCGAACGGCAGCACGGGAGCAAUCCUGGUGGCGAGUGGCGAACGGGUGAGUAAUAUAUCGGAACGUGCCCGGUCGUGGGGAUAACGUAGCGAAAGCUACGCUAAUACCGCAUACGAUCUACGGAUGAAAGCGGGGGAUCGCAAGACCUCGCGCGAUUGGAGCGGCCGAUAUCAGAUUAGGUAGUUGGUGAGGUAAAGGCUCACCAAGCCGACGAUCUGUAGCUGGUCUGAGAGGACGACCAGCCACACUGGGACUGAGACACGGCCCAGACUCCUACGGGAGGCAGCAGUGGGGAAUUUUGGACAAUGGGCGCAAGCCUGAUCCAGCAAUGCCGCGUGCAGGAUGAAGGCCUUCGGUUGUAAACUGCUUUUGUACGGUAACGAAACGGUAGAGCUCUAAUACAGUUUG
Molecule: ribosomal RNA, 442 nt
Filed under: uncultured bacterium
Lineage: Bacteria
Description: bacterial SSU rRNA
Rfam family: Bacterial small subunit ribosomal RNA
Source: RNAcentral